AUGCAACAGCGCAAGUAUGUUGCAACGAGGAUGCAUCUCUUAAAAAGCACGUCCAAUGAAACUCAAGGUUUUGUUGCUUUUCGUAUGUUCUUUUUGGUAUGUAUCCAAUGGAACUUAAGGUUUUGUUGCUUUUUGUAUGUUCUUCUUGGUAUGUGCAGGAGUGACUUUGUGCCAGAGGAUGCAGCCAACAACCAGAGAAGAUAUCCAACUAAUCAUUCAUUCUGCUGGUAUAUAAAUUAUGGAACCAAUAAUAAUAAAAGUCUAGGAUUCCUUUAUCUUUCGCAGCCGCCGUCAUUUGUCCGCCUCGUUUCCGAUGGUUCUAUUCUUGGUGGAUUUUCACGGAUCUGA
Molecule: ribosomal RNA, 348 nt
Filed under: Triticum aestivum (bread wheat)
Lineage: Eukaryota; Viridiplantae; Streptophyta; Magnoliopsida; Poales; Poaceae
Description: partial small subunit ribosomal RNA
Source: RNAcentral